RNAcentral lists this transfer RNA (77 nucleotides) under Shouchella clausii KSM-K16. RNAcentral describes it as "tRNA-fMet (CAT) (tRNA-fMet-CAT-2-1)". It matches the Rfam family "tRNA". From Rfam's summary of the family: Transfer RNA (tRNA) molecules are approximately 80 nucleotides in length. Their secondary structure includes four short double-helical elements and three loops (D, anti-codon, and T loops). Further hydrogen bonds mediate the characteristic L-shaped molecular structure. tRNAs have two regions of fundamental functional importance: the anti-codon, which is responsible for specific mRNA codon recognition, and the 3' end, to which the tRNAs corresponding amino acid is attached (by aminoacyl-tRNA synthetases). tRNAs cope with the degeneracy of the genetic code in two manners: having more than one tRNA (with a specific anti-codon) for a particular amino acid; and 'wobble' base-pairing, i.e. permitting non-standard base-pairing at the 3rd anti-codon position. Lineage: Bacteria; Bacillati; Bacillota; Bacilli; Caryophanales; Bacillaceae. RNAcentral also lists the same sequence under 8 other names. The record is from RNAcentral.
CGCGGGGUGGAGCAGCCUGGUAGCUCGUCGGGCUCAUAACCCGAAGGUCGGCGGUUCAAAUCCGUCCCCCGCAACCA